UGUAGGUUCCACUAAAUAUCAGUGAAUUGCUGGUUAACUGGUUUCCACUGAAGAGAUGGUUCAUUGAAGAAAGCUGGUUACAAGGAUCCUGUUUUUGAAAAGAGUUGUUGAUUAAUUCAAAGUGUUUUUUUCUACAGUAUUAAAUCCCUUCACCUCCACUCUGUUGGCAUAGACGCAGAAUCCCAGAGGCUCCAAACCUGCACAAAUAAAACCAGAGCGAUUUGCAUGCCGGAGAAAUCACGAGAAGAAAGAGGGAGAAUAUGUUUUUGUGACUGGGAUCUGGCUCAUUACCAGCAGAGGAGAAUCUGGUGCUCGGAGGCCCCUCACAGCUGGCAGCAUCUCUGAAAGGUGUGACUCCGCGGGGAGAGGCCAGGAAAACAAAUCGGACCGUUCUGACGAAGGCUCCGGUUCCCCUUCGUCCUGGAUCAUCGACCCGAGUCCGUCGGCCAACAUGUUCCGAUCCUCAUGCUCCCCCUGCCUGUCCGACCACAGU
Molecule: long non-coding RNA, 493 nt
Organism: Pleuronectes platessa (European plaice)
Lineage: Eukaryota; Metazoa; Chordata; Actinopteri; Pleuronectiformes; Pleuronectidae
Exons: 3
Source: RefSeq, a predicted model, not a curated record